GCAACAAAGCAAACGGUUCCAACUGUUGUACCUGUUACCACACCCUGCAGUCAAACCCUGGUGUGGCUUUCUAUAGUUUCAGAACGCUCUUGUAAGCACUUGUUGGCUUGGCAGCUGAAUCAACAGCCACGUCCUUUCCCACAGACUUUAUUCUAAGGUCAAGCAUGUAUGCUGUUGUAACCUUGCGAGAUUCAGAUGAGGUGAUGGUGGCAGCAUCAAACUGGCUGAACACAGACAAGACACAAUGUCACUGGCCCCCAUUCAGAUCAGCAGAGAAGUACAUGCAAGCUGUGAAAGACAGAACUGAGCCUUCAACAGCAGGAAAACCAUGGGACAUGUUAAACAUUCUCUUACAUGCAGAAUACGACACCUAUCAGGAGGCUACAACGAAAAAAGAGGAACUUGUAAGAGCACAGAAAGAUGGUUUGUAUGCAGUCAUUACCCUGCAAGAAUCAAGUGAGCUGACUGUGAUACCAACAAACUGGCUGAAUGAACACAAGACACAAUGUUACUGGCCUCCAUUCAAGGCACCUAAGACAUGCACAGAAGCUGUAAAGAACAGACUUGAACCUGCUAGAGGAGAAAAUCCAUGGGAGAUGCUGAACAUCAUAUUUCAUGAACAACAUGCCACUUUUGAACAGGCUAAAGAGAGGGAAGAAGCACUCAGACAGCAGACUGAACCACCCUCUACAUCUUUUGGAUGUCUUGAAAGACAAAACUCUCCACUGCGGUCAGGAAUAUCCACUGGUGGCUUUUCCUCCCAAACCACAGUCAUUAGUCAUGGUAUUAAAAGAAAACGUGAAGAGUCUCCAGAUAUCACUGCACGGCCACUGAUGACUACAGAUAUGGAGAUAAGAAACAAAGCAAAGCAGGUCAUUGAAAGAGUUAUGGCCCAAAUUCAGACCACAACAAAUGCAUUAAAACCUGACAUUGUGUAAGUGUUGAAAAUUAUUUUUGGAGAUCUGUAAACACUUCUCUUUUAAGUACUCGUAAAUG
Molecule: long non-coding RNA, 996 nt
Filed under: Sinocyclocheilus grahami
Lineage: Eukaryota; Metazoa; Chordata; Actinopteri; Cypriniformes; Cyprinidae
Description: lncRNA (ENSSGRG00000038010.1)
Source: RNAcentral